RNAcentral lists this ribosomal RNA (1391 nucleotides) under uncultured bacterium. RNAcentral describes it as "bacterial SSU rRNA". It matches the Rfam family "Bacterial small subunit ribosomal RNA". The record is from RNAcentral.
UACAACGAAGAGUUUGAUCCUGACUCAGGAUGAACGCUAGCGACAGGCCUAACACAUGCAAGUCGAGGGGCAGCAUUGUAGCUUGCUACAGAUGGCGACCGGCGCACGGGUGAGUAACGCGUAUGCAACCUACCUUAUACUGGGGGAUAGCCCAGAGAAAUCUGGAUUAAUACCGCAUAACAUAUUUGAAUCGCAUGGUUUAAAUAUUAAAACUCCGGUGGUAUAAGAUGGGCAUGCGUAGCAUUAGUUUGUUGGUGAGGUAACGGCUCACCAAGACAAUGAUGCUUAGGGGGUCUGAGAGGAUAGUCCCCCACACUGGUACUGAGACACGGACCAGACUCCUACGGGAGGCAGCAGUGAGGAAUAUUGGUCAAUGGGCGAAAGCCUGAACCAGCCAUGUCGCGUGCAGGAUGACGGCCCUAUGGGUUGUAAACUGUUUUUUUACAGGAAUAAUUGUCGCUACGUGUAGUGAUUUGAAUGUACUGUAUGAAUAAGGAUCGGCUAACUCCGUGCCAGCAGCCGCGGUAAUACGGAGGAUUCGAGCGUUAUCCGGAUUUAUUGGGUUUAAAGGGUCUGUAGGCGGUUCUUUAAGUCAGUGGUGAAAUCCCAGAGCUCAACUCUGGAACUGCCAUUGAAACUGAAGAACUUGGAUAUGGUUGAGGUAGGCGGAAUACGUUAUGUAGCGGUGAAAUGCAUAGAUAUAACGUAGAACACCAAUUGCGAAGGCAGCUUACUAAACCAUUAUUGACGCUGAUGGACGAAAGCGUGGGGAGCGAACAGGAUUAGAUACCCUGGUAGUCCACGCCGUAAACGAUGAUUACUCGUUGUGCACAAUACAUCGUGCGUGACUGAGCGAAAGCAUUAAGUAAUCCACCUGGGGAGUACGUUCGCAAGAAUGAAACUCAAAGGAAUUGACGGGGGCCCGCACAAGCGGAGGAACAUGUGGUUUAAUUCGAUGAUACGCGAGGAACCUUACCUGGACUUAAAUGUAGAUUGACCCUCUUAGAAAUAGGAGUUCUCUUCGGAGCAAUUUACAAGGUGCUGCAUGGUUGUCGUCAGCUCGCGCCGUGAGGUGUCGGGUUAAGUCCCAUAACGAGCGCAACCCCUAUCGUUAGUUGCUAGCAGGUAAUGCUGAGGACUCUAGCGAGACUGCCACCGUAAGGUGAGAGGAAGGUGGGGAUGACGUCAAAUCAGCACGGCCCUUACGUCCAGGGCUACACACGUGUUACAAUGGCCGGUACAAAGGGCAGCUACCUGGUGACAGGAUGCUAAUCUCAAAAGCUGGUCUCAGUUCGGAUCGGAGUCUGCAACUCGACUCCGUGAAGUUGGAUUCGCUAGUAAUCGUAUAUCAGCAAUGAUACGGUGAAUACGUUCCCGGGCCUUGUACACAU